GAUGAAGAACGUAGUGAAAUGCGAUACUUGGUGUGAAUUGCAGAAUCCCGCGAAUCAUCGAGUUUUUGAACGCAAGUUGCGCCCGAAGCCAUUCGGCCGAGGGCACGUCUGCCUGGGUGUCACGCAUCGUUGCCCCCCCAAACUCCGGUUCGGGCGGGGCGGAAGUUGGCCUCCCGUGCGUGCCUGCGCGCGCGGUUAGCCCAAAAGCGAGUCCUCGGCGACGAGCGCCACGACAAUCGGUGGUUUUUUUACCCUCGUUCCUCGUCGUGCGUGUCCCGUCGCCCGAACGCGCUCUUGUGACCCUCACGCGUCGCCUCGGCGGCGCUCCCAACGCGACCCCAGGUCAGGCGGGACUACCCGCUGAGUUUAAGCAUAUCAAUAAGCGGAGGA
This 390-nucleotide unclassified non-coding RNA is filed under the name soil metagenome. RNAcentral describes it as "partial contains 5.8S ribosomal RNA, internal transcribed spacer 2, and large subunit ribosomal RNA". The stretch from base 1 to 122 matches the Rfam family "5.8S ribosomal RNA", at positions 35 to 154 of the family's 154-position model. The record is from RNAcentral.